AUGAACAUCGCCCUCCUGACCCGGUGGCUAUGGCGUAUUGCUAAUGGUGACGGAGGGCUUUGGCUCACCAUCAUCCGAAACAAGUACCUCCGUGGACAUCCUCUGGCUUUCUGUCAGCAUUCGGGCGGAUCCCAGUUUUGGCAGGCCGUCAUUCAGCUGCUCCCUGUCCUUCGCAUUGGCACGUCCAUCUCGGUUGGGUCUGGGUCCGCAACCCUGUUCUGGUUUGAUCGGUGGAUCGGCGACACCCCUCUGGCCGCCCGCUUUUCCCGAGCUCUUCGUCAUUUCUGUUGA
This 291-nucleotide ribosomal RNA is filed under the name Triticum aestivum (bread wheat). RNAcentral's name for it is "partial small subunit ribosomal RNA". Lineage: Eukaryota; Viridiplantae; Streptophyta; Magnoliopsida; Poales; Poaceae. The record is from RNAcentral.